RNAcentral lists this small nuclear RNA (107 nucleotides) under Phocoena sinus (vaquita). Lineage: Eukaryota; Metazoa; Chordata; Mammalia; Artiodactyla; Phocoenidae. The record is from RNAcentral.
GUGCUUGCUUUGGCAGCAUGUAUACUAAAAUUGAAAUGAUACAGAGAAGAUUAGCAUGGCCCCUGAACAAGGAUGACAUGCAAAUUUGUGAAGCAUUCCAUAUUUUU